GCCGGCAGCUAGCUCUCUGUAACUCUUACAUGGUUGUAGCAAAUACUGUAGGUCUGAAGCUUAGCAGGCCUGCGCCCGGUCAGUACCUGGAUGGGAGACCACAAUGGAAAGCUAGGUUGCUGCCAGGA
RNAcentral lists this ribosomal RNA (128 nucleotides) under Danio rerio (zebrafish). Lineage: Eukaryota; Metazoa; Chordata; Actinopteri; Cypriniformes; Danionidae. The record is from RNAcentral.